AUGAAAUUUAUGUAUGUCUUGCCUGGCUGGGAGGGUUCAGCUUCUGACUCAAGAGUCUUGCGUGAUGCAAUGAGGUUGAGCCGCCAAGAUGCAUUUGUCGUACCACAUGGGAAAUAUUAUUUAGUUGAUGCUGGUUAUACCAACGGUCCUGGAUUUCCUGCUCCAUUCAGAUCGACUCGAUAUCACUUAAAAGAGUGGGUAUCAAGUCAACAACAGCCCCAAACUCCUAAAGAGCUGUAUAACUUGCAUCAUUCCCGAGCUAGAAAUGUAGUCGAGAGAACAUUUGGGUUGUGGAAGAAAAAGUGGGCUUUUCUACAUUGUCAAUCUUUCUUUGACAUAAAGGACCAGGUAUGA
This 354-nucleotide ribosomal RNA is filed under the name Triticum aestivum (bread wheat). RNAcentral describes it as "partial small subunit ribosomal RNA". Lineage: Eukaryota; Viridiplantae; Streptophyta; Magnoliopsida; Poales; Poaceae. The record is from RNAcentral.